UACGGGGGGUGCAAGCGUUACUCGGAAUCACUGGGCGUAAAGAGCAUGUAGGCGGAUUAAUAAGUUUGAAGUGAAAUCCUAUAGCUUAACUAUAGAACUGCUUUGAAAACUGUUAAUCUAGAAUGUGGGAGAGGUAGAUGGAAUUUCUGGUGUAGGGGUAAAAUCCGUAGAGAUCAGAAGGAAUACCGAUUGCGAAGGCGAUCUACUGGAACAUUAUUGACGCUGAGAUGCGAAAGCGUGGGGAGCAAACAGGAUUAGAUACCCUGGUAGUCCACGCCCUAAACGAUGUACACUAGUUGUUGUGAGACUUGAUCUUGCAGUAAUGCAGUUAACACAUUAAGUGUACCGCCUGGGGAGUACGGUCGCAAGAUUAAAACUCAAAGGAAUAGACGGGGACCCGCACAAGCGGUGGAGCAUGUGGUUUAAUUCGACGAUACACGAAGAACCUUACCUGGACUUGACAUAGUAAGAACUUUCUAGAGAUAGAUUGGUGUCCGCUUGCAGAAACUUAUAUACAGGUGCUGCACGGCUGUCGUCAGCUCGUGUCGUGAGAUGUUGGGUUAAGUCCCGCAACGAGCGCAACCCUCGUGUUUAGUUGCUAACAGUUCGGCUGAGAACUCUAAACAGACUGCCUACGCAGGUAGGAGGAAGGUGAGGACGACGUCAAGUCAUCAUGGCCCUUACGUCCAGGGCUACACACGUGCUACAAUGGGAUAUACAAAGAGCGGCAAUACGGUGACGUGGAGCAAAUCUUAUAAAAUAUCUCCCAGUUCGGAUUGUAGUCUGCAACUCGACUACAUGAAGUUGGAAUCGCUAGUAAUCGUAGAUCAGCUAUGCUACGGUGAAUACGUUCCCGGGUCU
RNAcentral lists this ribosomal RNA (861 nucleotides) under uncultured bacterium. RNAcentral's name for it is "SSU rRNA". It matches the Rfam family "Bacterial small subunit ribosomal RNA", at positions 524 to 1381 of the family's 1533-position model. The record is from RNAcentral.